GUGCUCACUUUGGCAACGUAUAUGCUGAAAUUGGAACGAUGCCCGGAAGAUUAAGAUGGCCUACACAAAGAUGACCCACAAAUUCAUGAAGCAGUCUACAUUUUU
RNAcentral lists this small nuclear RNA (105 nucleotides) under Neotoma lepida (desert woodrat). Lineage: Eukaryota; Metazoa; Chordata; Mammalia; Rodentia; Cricetidae. The record is from RNAcentral.